RNAcentral lists this ribosomal RNA (635 nucleotides) under uncultured Marinobacter sp. RNAcentral describes it as "bacterial SSU rRNA". It matches the Rfam family "Bacterial small subunit ribosomal RNA", at positions 870 to 1504 of the family's 1533-position model. Lineage: Bacteria; Pseudomonadati; Pseudomonadota; Gammaproteobacteria; Pseudomonadales; Marinobacteraceae. The record is from RNAcentral.
CGCCUGGGGAGUGCGGCCGCAAGGUUAAAACUCAAAUGAAUUGACGGGGGCCCGCACAAGCGGUGGAGCAUGUGGUUUAAUUCGACGCAACGCGAAGAACCUUACCUGGCCUUGACAUCCAGAGAGCUUCCCAGAGAUGGAUUGGUGCCUUCGGGAACUCUGAGACAGGUGCUGCAUGGCCGUCGUCAGCUCGUGUCGUGAGAUGUUGGGUUAAGUCCCGUAACGAGCGCAACCCCUAUCCCUGGUUGCUAGCAGGUAAUGCUGAGAACUCCAGGGAGACUGCCGGUGACAAACCGGAGGAAGGUGGGGAUGACGUCAGGUCAUCAUGGCCCUUACGGCCAGGGCUACACACGUGCUACAAUGGCGCGUACAGAGGGCUGCCAACUCGCGAGAGUGAGCCAAUCCCUUAAAACGCGUCGUAGUCCGGAUCGGAGUCUGCAACUCGACUCCGUGAAGUCGGAAUCGCUAGUAAUCGCGAAUCAGAAUGUCGCGGUGAAUACGUUCCCGGGCCUUGUACACACCGCCCGUCACACCAUGGGAGUGGAUUGCACCAGAAGUAGUUAGUCUAACCUUCGGGAGGACGAUUACCACGGUGUGGUUCAUGACUGGGGUGAAGUCGUAACAAGGUAACCGUA